GACGAACGCUGGCGGCGUGCUUAACACAUGCAAGUCGAACGGAAAGGCCCUGCUUUUGUGGGGUGCUCGAGUGGCGAACGGGUGAGUAACACGUGAGUAACCUGCCCUUGACUUUGGGAUAACUUCAGGAGACUGGGGCUAAUACCGGAUAGGAGCUUCUGCAGCAUGGUGGGGGUUGGAACGUUUCGGCGGUUGGGGAUGGACUCGCGGCUUAUCAGCUUGUUGGUGGGGUAGUGGCUUACCAAGGCUUUGACGGGUAGCCGGCCUGAGAGGGUGACCGGCCACAUUGGGACUGAGAUACGGCCCAGACUCCUACGGGAGGCAACAGUGGGGAAUAUUGCACAAUGGGCGGAAGCCUGAUGCAGCAACGCCGCGUGCGGGAUGACGGCCUUCGGGUUGUAAACCGCUUUCGCCUGUGGCGAAGCGUGAGUGACGGUAAUGGGUAAAGAAGCACCGGCUAACUACGUG
This 468-nucleotide ribosomal RNA is filed under the name uncultured bacterium. RNAcentral's name for it is "partial 16S ribosomal RNA". It matches the Rfam family "Bacterial small subunit ribosomal RNA", at positions 28 to 507 of the family's 1533-position model. The record is from RNAcentral.